GGGCGGGUGGUGAAAUUGGUAGACACGCUAGCCUUAGGAGCUAGUGCCCACAAAGCUUGGAGGUUCGAGUCCUCUCCCGCCCACCA
This 86-nucleotide transfer RNA is filed under the name candidate division WS2 bacterium ADurb.Bin280. RNAcentral describes it as "tRNA-Leu". It matches the Rfam family "tRNA". Rfam says of the family: Transfer RNA (tRNA) molecules are approximately 80 nucleotides in length. Their secondary structure includes four short double-helical elements and three loops (D, anti-codon, and T loops). Further hydrogen bonds mediate the characteristic L-shaped molecular structure. tRNAs have two regions of fundamental functional importance: the anti-codon, which is responsible for specific mRNA codon recognition, and the 3' end, to which the tRNAs corresponding amino acid is attached (by aminoacyl-tRNA synthetases). tRNAs cope with the degeneracy of the genetic code in two manners: having more than one tRNA (with a specific anti-codon) for a particular amino acid; and 'wobble' base-pairing, i.e. permitting non-standard base-pairing at the 3rd anti-codon position. The record is from RNAcentral.